This 491-nucleotide ribosomal RNA is filed under the name uncultured bacterium. RNAcentral's name for it is "partial 16S ribosomal RNA". It matches the Rfam family "Bacterial small subunit ribosomal RNA", at positions 29 to 507 of the family's 1533-position model. The record is from RNAcentral.
AGUGAACGCUGGCGGUAGGCCUAACACAUGCAAGUCGAACGGCAGCACAGUAAGAGCUUGCUCUUACGGGUGGCGAGUGGCGGACGGGUGAGGAAUACAUCGGAAUCUACUUUUUCGUGGGGGAUAACGUAGGGAAACUUACGCUAAUACCGCAUACGACCUACGGGUGAAAGCAGGGGAUCUUCGGACCUUGCGCGAUUGAAUGAGCCGAUGUCGGAUUAGCUAGUUGGCGGGUAAAGGCCCACCAAGGCGACGAUCCGUAGCUGGUCUGAGAGGAUGAUCAGCCACACUGGAACUGAGACACGGUCCAGACUCCUACGGGAGGCAGCAGUGGGGAAUAUUGGACAAUGGGCGCAAGCCUGAUCCAGCCAUACCGCGUGGGUGAAGAAGGCCUUCGGGUUGUAAAGCCCUUUUGUUGGGAAAGAAAAGCAGCAGGUUAAUACCCCGCCGUUCUGACGGUACCCAAAGAAUAAGCACCGGCUAACUUCGUG